This 519-nucleotide ribosomal RNA is filed under the name uncultured bacterium. RNAcentral describes it as "bacterial SSU rRNA". It matches the Rfam family "Bacterial small subunit ribosomal RNA", at positions 8 to 518 of the family's 1533-position model. The record is from RNAcentral.
AGAGUUGAUCCUGGCUCAGGAUGAACGCUAGCUACAGGCUUAACACAUGCAAGUCGAGGGGCAGCAUUGGAGUAGCAAUACUCAGAUGGCGACCGGCGCACGGGUGAGUAACACGUAUCCAACCUGCCGCUUACUCGGGGAUAGCCUUUACGAAAGAAAGAUUAAUACCCGAUGGUAUAAAGAGUUCGCAUGUUCUCUUUAUUAAAGAAUUUCGGUAAGCGAUGGGGAUGCGUUCCAUUAGAUAGUUGGCGGGGUAACGGCCCACCAAGUCUACGAUGGAUAGGGGUUCUGAGAGGAAGGUCCCCCACAUUGGAACUGAGACACGGUCCAAACUCCUACGGGAGGCAGCAGUGAGGAAUAUUGGUCAAUGGACGAGAGUCUGAACCAGCCAAAAGUAGCGUGAAGGAUGACUGCCCUAUGGGUUGUAAACUUCUUUUAUAAGGGAAUAAAGUGAGGGACGUGUCCCUUUUUGUAUGUACCUUAUGAAUAAGGAUCGGCUAACUCCGUGCCAGCCGCCGC